Neopsephotus bourkii (Bourke's parrot) is the source of this 1428-nucleotide long non-coding RNA. RefSeq lists it as uncharacterized. The transcript is spliced from 4 exons. NCBI's taxonomy places the organism in Eukaryota, Metazoa, Chordata, Aves, Psittaciformes, Psittacidae. The record is from RefSeq and is a predicted model, not a curated record.
AAGGCCAAGGUGAAUCCUGCUUGCUUCCAGUCAUCUCCCACCACAGUCAGACUCCAUUCCCCAUUUUUAAUUGUCACUGGAGCUCAAGGAAAAAACCUUUAGUGCUGGGCAAAUAGGAGCUUGCAGAGGACUGCAGGAAGGAGAGCCAGCUUUGCGUAAGAACACCUCAUCCAAGGAUAUGAGUCAAAGAAACAUGAAUUGCUCUGAACAGCCUGAAGGUUUCAACAGCAAUCAGUUAUUUAUGAAGACAACAAACCCUCCUGAGCAGGAAGUGUCUCACAUGUUCCCAUGUUUGCUGGAAAUUGACCACCGUAAUACAAAUAAUGUAAAGCAAGAUUUGGUCCAUGUUACUGCAAGAAGAGACUGAAAAUGAAAAGAAAGACAUUAGACUGAGGAGAACAUCAACAAGCAUCAGAUGAACUUAUCAUCCUGGCUGGUUUUUAGCCAACUUGCUGUGAGCCUUGGAGUCUGCUUUGUGAAAUGUCACUUCCAGCGAAGUCUGAACCUGCCUGUGAUCACAGUGGGGCUGGAAAGGAAGAACCCUUUAGCCAUCAGUGAGAUGAACUCUUAAAAAAGCCUUUUAUCAGGAUUCGGGCUUGAUUUAAGGUAAAGCGUACGUCUUUUUAUCCCUAGACUAUGGUAAGCUGAUGUGAUAGGUACCUGCAGUAUAAAGGGACUGGGCACAGUGUCCAAAGAGGCCCUGUGCUGUCCACAGUUCUUCUUCUUCUUGUCCACAUUCUGCAUAUUUGAGUAGGAAAACAAAAUAUUUCUAAGCACGAAAGCUCUAGUGUUAAGUUUUUAAUAAAACUGAAGUUCAGCUCCUGUAUUAGAAUCUAUCCCAAACAGAGGGAGCUUAACCACUACACACUGAAACCACUGCAAGUGUUCUAGAGUAAUUUGUUUCCUUCAUUCUCUGCAGACAGAUUCCUAAGCUGUAACAAGUGAAUAGUGUAAUUUCUUUAAAAUGCCUUUUCUUCCUUCUCUCUAUAUUGCCUUUGGCAAUCUUAAGCCUUCAAAGACAGCUACAGUUUUCCUGACAGUCUGCACUACUGAAGUAAGCCUUUAAUUGAGCACACUAGCAUCCAAAUAUGAUACUCUGUGCAGCUGAGUGAUUAAUUUUUAACUACCCUGGAUACCUCAGGAAAAGUAUAUAUACUGUGAAUACACAGGUAUUUUUCAUUUAAGUCUUUGCUUUUAUUUUCCCAAUGUGACCUCAUCUGUUCUACUGUGAUAAAUAGAAAGACAAUAAAUGGACAUCUUAAAUCUAGGCAGUGAAUUUCGUGCUGGUCAAAACAAGAUUUCAUUGUUUUCCACACUUGCAAGUAUUAGAAUUAACCCCCCAAAAAUUAUAACUAAUAAUCUUUUUAUUAAAGAAGCCAUUUAAUCAAGAACUGGAAGAGAAUAAGUUUUGCUGAUCAGACUGCUUAU